RNAcentral lists this long non-coding RNA (1016 nucleotides) under Homo sapiens (human). RNAcentral describes it as "HSALNT0111380". The record is from RNAcentral. Lineage: Eukaryota; Metazoa; Chordata; Mammalia; Primates; Hominidae.
GUAUUUUUAGUAGAGAUGGGGUUUUGCUAUGUUGGCCAGGCUGGUCUCAAACUCCUGACCUCAGGUGAAUCACCUGAGGUCAGGAGUUCAAGACCAGCCUGGCCAACAUAGUGAAACCCCGUCUCUACUAAAAACACAAAAAUUAGCCAGGCUUGGUGGCUGGCGCCUGUAAUUCCAGCUACUCAGAAGGCUGAGGCAGGGAGAAUUGCUUGAACCCAGGAGUGGAGGUUGCAGUGAGCUGAGAUCAUGCCACUGCACUCCAGCCUGGGCGACAGAGCGAGACUCCACCUCAAAAAAUAAAAUCAAGAUAACCUCUUGAAUGUAAUAGCUCAUAGCACUUUAAUUUGGCAAGCCAUUUUUCCUGUUUUAUUAUAAAUCUAUAUUAGAUGUUUGAAUAUGGUUUGAAAUAUUUCACUACCGUGCUGAAAAAGGUUGGUUGAUAGCAGCUUGGAGUGCUAACUGGAAGAUCAAAAUCAUGUCUCUUGCUGAUAACCUAAGAGCAUUAAGCUCUGAGUCCAGUGAGGUCAUAGCAGUGUAUGCUCCUUGCCCUUACGGAGUGUCUGUUUUUAGAAAUUUAGAUUUUAAAAGGCGUGGGACAUACGACCAGGCCCUAUAGCCACAUAAAUAUAAAUUUCAUAGAAAAAGAAUAAAAGCGGAGAUAUAUUUUUUGACACAGAGGCACCCAAAGAAAUACAAACAUUGCCUAGCUGCUGCCAUUUCUGUAACUGCCCAGAAGGGUGACAGAUUUCUGAAGGGGAAAGGAUUCAGAUAUGACCUUUUCUUUAGUCCCAACCACUAGUUUUAACAAAUGUGAAUUAUUGAAAUGUGAAGGGACAAAAAGAAUCAUACAUUUAAACUGUCUUGUUCAGCAUACCAAUAUUGUAUGUUACAAAUCAUCAUUUCUAAAUCUGGAUUGAUUCUGUUGUGUUUUUGACUGUUUCUAAAGUAAGUGUGUAUAAAAGUCUCCUUUUUAAAAAGAUCAUAUUUUUAAAUAAAGCAUUUUUUGUAGAAAGUGC